RNAcentral lists this unclassified non-coding RNA (153 nucleotides) under soil metagenome. RNAcentral's name for it is "partial internal transcribed spacer 1". The record is from RNAcentral.
CCGAGUUUACAACUCCCAACCCCUGUGAACAUACCAUUACCUUGUUGCUUCGGCGGAUCACCCGACCCUACGGGUAAACGGAAGGGCCCGCCAGAGGACACCCUAAACUUCAUGUUUUCCUAUAUUUAUUACUGAGUGAAUUUAAAUAAAUCA